CCUACGGGUGGCUGCAGUGGGGAAUAUUGCACAAUGGGCGAAAGCCUGAUGCAGCAACGCCGCGUGAAGGAAGAAGGGUUUCGGCUCGUAAACUUCUAUCAACAGGGACGAAAGAAAUGACGGUACCUGAAUAAGAAGCCCCGGCUAACUACGUGCCAGCAGCCGCGGUAAUACGUAGGGGGCAAGCGUUGUCCGGAAUCAUUGGGCGUAAAGAGUUCGUAGGCGGCACGUAAAGUCUGGUGUUAAAGGCAGAGGCUCAACUUCUGUACGGCACUGGAUACUUGCGAGCUAGAAUGCGGUAGAGGUAAAGGGAAUUCCUGGUGUAGCGGUGAAAUGCUUAGAUAUCAGGAGGAACAUCGGUGGCGUAAGCGCUUUACUGGGCCGUAAUUGACGCUGAGGAACGAAAGCCAGGGUAGCAAAUGGGAUUAGAUACCCUAGUAGUC
This 443-nucleotide ribosomal RNA is filed under the name uncultured bacterium. RNAcentral's name for it is "partial 16S ribosomal RNA". It matches the Rfam family "Bacterial small subunit ribosomal RNA", at positions 338 to 795 of the family's 1533-position model. The record is from RNAcentral.